This 650-nucleotide small RNA is filed under the name Pongo abelii (Sumatran orangutan). Its description in RNAcentral is "processed transcript". The record is from RNAcentral. Lineage: Eukaryota; Metazoa; Chordata; Mammalia; Primates; Hominidae.
AGUGAAGCCGGAGGGAUGGGGUCCAAUCGCCGUCGGCUGCGCAGAAACUGGGACUUCUCCCCAGGGUCGUGGAGGACGCGGCCGCGGACCCUCCCACCGCCUCACGCCUCAGAGACCGGGUCCAGAGCCCUCAGCCGCUUCCGAGCCCCGAGAGGGGAAUCAGAAGUGCGCGUGGUCAGAGCUGCACCCCCUUCCCAGGAACCGCAGCUGAACCAACGGUUUCCCCUGCACCAGCCUUUGCGACCAGACCAGAAGACCAUGUAGCACCAAAAAGAUAGCUGCAAAGUGGGAUAAACUUGGGGAAAACAAUCUGCUGGCCGGAAGAGAGUAAGAUGCAGGAGGAUGAUUGCUGGUUCUCCACAGCAGGAGUCAGGGAGGCCAUGAGAUGGAAGAGCCACCCCACAAUGGGAAGAACCUGGAGACAAGGUUCUCCUUGUCUACGCCCGAGAGAAGCCAUCCUUCAGGAGAGAGUUUCUGAGUUUCCUGAACUUGGGGAACAUUCUAAACCUAUUCAAAAUUUGCUUACUCACAGAGAGGUCUCACAAGUAGGCACGUCGUCCAUAAAUGAGACUCGCAUGUUGAAUAUUGACACAGAAUUCAGUUUUUGUUUAGAUGACUAUCAGAAUAAAAUAUCUGUAUAUGAGAAGCCU